Molecule: ribosomal RNA, 414 nt
Filed under: uncultured Alphaproteobacteria bacterium
Lineage: Bacteria; Pseudomonadati; Pseudomonadota; Alphaproteobacteria
Description: bacterial SSU rRNA
Rfam family: Bacterial small subunit ribosomal RNA
Source: RNAcentral
AUGGGCGCAAGCCUGAUCUAUCCAUGCCGCGUGUGUGAUGAAGGCCUUAGGGUCGUAAAGCUCUUUCGCCAGAGAUGAUAAUGACAGUAUCUGGUAAAGAAACCCCGGCUAACUCCGUGCCAGCAGCCGCGGUAAUACGGAGGGGGUUAGCGUUGUUCGGAAUUACUGGGCGUAAAGCGUACCUAGGCGGAUCAGAAAGUAUGGGGUGAAAUCCCAGGGCUCAACCCUGGAACUGCCUCCUAAACUCCUGGUCUUGAGUUCGAGAGAGGUGAGUGGAAUUCCAAGUGUAGAGGUGAAAUUCGUAUAUAUUUGGAGGAACACCAGUGGCGAAUGCGGCUCACUGGCUCGAUACUGACGCUGACGUACGAAAGUGUGGGGAGCAAACAGGAUUAGAUACCCUGGUAGUCCACACCG